This 262-nucleotide ribosomal RNA is filed under the name Vibrio parahaemolyticus. Its description in RNAcentral is "partial 16S ribosomal RNA". It matches the Rfam family "Bacterial small subunit ribosomal RNA", at positions 443 to 706 of the family's 1533-position model. Lineage: Bacteria; Pseudomonadati; Pseudomonadota; Gammaproteobacteria; Vibrionales; Vibrionaceae. The record is from RNAcentral.
CGGUGUAGUUAAUAGCUGCAUCGUUUGACGUUAGCGACAGAAGAAGCACCGGCUAACUCCGUGCCAGCAGCCGCGGUAAUACGGAGGGUGCGAGCGUUAAUCGGAAUUACUGGGCGUAAAGCGCAUGCAGGUGGUUUGUUAAGUCAGAUGUGAAAGCCCGGGGCUCAACCUCGGAAUUGCAUUUGAAACUGGCAGACUAGAGUACUGUAGAGGGGGGUAGAAUUUCAGGUGUAGCGGUGAAAUGCGUAGAGAUCUGAAGGAA